This 119-nucleotide ribosomal RNA is filed under the name Erinaceus europaeus (western European hedgehog). The record is from RNAcentral. Lineage: Eukaryota; Metazoa; Chordata; Mammalia; Eulipotyphla; Erinaceidae.
GUCUGUGGCCAUACCACCUUGAACAUGUCUGAUCUUGUCUCAUCUUGGAAGCUAAGCAGGGUAGGGCCUGGCUAGUACUUGGAUGGGAGAAGAAGAGGAGGAAGAGGAGGGGACAAAAG